This is a long non-coding RNA of Cyprinus carpio carpio, 1335 nucleotides long. Lineage: Eukaryota; Metazoa; Chordata; Actinopteri; Cypriniformes; Cyprinidae. The record is from Ensembl.
GCAUUUUCUUUAGUCUGUAGGCACAAAUACUUUUGGAAGGUCACGUUCUGAACGCUUUGCUGUCCUAAUUGCUUAAAUUCAGGAUGAAAGGCAAUAUUGCCUUGCCUUAUUACAACACUGCAGACCAGAACACUAUUCCCAGUAGAGAACAGACGUUCACCCGAAACACACUGCAUGCUAAAGGACCUAAAGAAAGCAUGCAUCCUGACCUUCUAACGCAUUUUACCAUGUCAUUCUGCCUGCUAACUUUUAAAAAGUAGCGUACUUUAGCAGAAAGUGAGGUUUACUGUAGAGAAGCUUGAGGCAGAGAGUUGAGCUAUGAAGCACCCUGAGUGCCUGUGUUUCUAAAUAAUGAUUUAUAAUGUGUAGUAUCGGAGCCAGGGUUAUGAUCUGGAGUUAAAUCCGAGUUUGAGUACAUUCUGUACCCAUUAACAGUUGAUAGCGCAUGCUUGUCUAGAUCUGAACCAGCUUUAAACUAUAGGAAGGUUCGGGUUCGUCAUCGUAAAGAUCACUUUUGGAAAUCGAUUAUGCGCCAAUAUUUACGUGCUCCUCGCCGGCGAUCAAUCCGAGACUCGGGUCCAAUUUUUGACCCCAGUUUGAAGUAGAAACCUGACGCGUGACGCUCCGGAAUGGACAGACUAUACUAUAGUAACAUCACAUAGGCACGUUGUAGCGUGCGAAUAAUUAAAUUGGAAGCAGACAAGAACACUGAGAAACAAACUGUAACAAACUGGUAAGUUAACCCUUUCGCUUCGUAUUGAGGCACUAGUAACCUCCAUCCGGUUAGACGUUUCUUGCGAGUUUGAGUGUGGAGCGCGGCGCAACAUUUUGGCUAUUACCAAAAUUUUUAACUAAGCACUCCCAUCUACUGUCGCCAUUUUAUACAUAGAGGCGACUUCACGCGCCGCAUAUGAGUGGAAUAACAAGGCACGCUUCUCUCUACUAGAACUACUUUUGAAGACUGUUCGCGUCACCGAAAGAAAUCGCUUUCACUUCUUUGAAAAGUCAAAGUUCCCUACCUUUUCGUCGGCUCUGGUGACUGCAAAUGGAAAUCCGUUAUUGAUACAGAAAUAAAUAACAUUUAGGUUUCGCUCCGCUCCGGUUCUCGGGGGAACAGGAGGGGCCGAGACCUCUCCUCAGAUGAACCCUGUGAACUAACGUGAACCCGUCGGGUCACCGCGAUAAGGAGCAUCUACUGCUUUAUGGCACACUGGUUAUGUGCCCGGCUGACAUGGGCGCUGCUGGAGUGGCGAGAAGGGAAAGAAAUGACGGGCUGAGCAGACACACUGAAGGGAGUGACUCAUGCGCAAAUGUCUAAUAUAGCCAGAAAUAUGG